GACGAACGCUGGCGGCGUGCUUAACACAUGCAAGUCGAACGGAAAGGCCCUGCUUUUGUGGGGUGCUCGAGUGGCGAGCGGGUGAGUAACACGUGAGUAACCUGCCCUUGACUUUGGGAUAACUUCAGGAAACUGGGGCUAAUACCGGAUAGGAGCUCCUGCUGCAUGGUGGGGGUUGGAAAGUUUCGGCGGUUGGGGAUGGACUCGCGGCUUAUCAGCUUGUUGGUGGGGUAGUGGCUUACCAAGGCUUUGACGGGUAGCCGGCCUGAGAGGGUGACCGGCCACAUUGGGACUGAGAUACGGCCCAGACUCCUACGGGAGGCAGCAGUGGGGAAUAUUGCACAAUGGGCGGAAGCCUGAUGCAGCAACGCCGCGUGCGGGAUGACGGCCUUCGGGUUGUAAACCGCUUUCGCCUGUGACGAAGCGUGAGUGACGGUAAUGGGGAAAGAAGCACCGGCUAACUACGU
Molecule: ribosomal RNA, 467 nt
Filed under: uncultured bacterium
Lineage: Bacteria
Description: partial 16S ribosomal RNA
Rfam family: Bacterial small subunit ribosomal RNA
Source: RNAcentral